UUAUAAUUAGAAAAAAGAGAAUAGCCUGCUCGUGCUAACAUAAAAAAGGCAAACGUGCACCACCACAUUGUUUAUUGGCACAAGUCUCAAGAUUUGACAAACACUUUUUUUAACAUAGUACAAUCGAAGUCGUUUACAUACACGAGCGUACACUCAUCCCUAUAAACGCACGAAAACGUCUUCUUUCACCGAAAGCACAUCGUCGAAAGACCUGAAAUAAAUUCAAAAAAAUGCAAGCACCAACAUCAAGUCUGAAACUUGAAUUCUCGUGAAUAGGGCCGGGCCGGUAAAAUCCGGGACCCUGCGCGGAACGAAAAAAUGAGGCCCUAUCUCACCUAGUUUUGGGUCUUGCACGAAUGAACUCGGAUCGAUCCGACGAGACGACGAGUCUCGGCGGCUGCCUGAAUCAGAUCGCGGGAUCGAUCUGAUCAACAGACGAAGUAAUCAGUCCGCAAACGGAGAGCCGCGAGCCGACGAGAUGAUCGAUCUGAUGAAGUAAUCAAUGGCGAUCCCGUUUUUUGGCGGGACGCGAGCACAACCUGUAGACGGAGAUAGCGAUUGGUGAAGUAAUCAAUAGCCGAUCGCGAUCAAUAGCGAUCCCAUUUUUUGGCAAUUGCGAGCACAUCCUGCAGACGGAGUCGGCGUUUAGGGAAUAGCGAUCCCAUUUUUUUUCUUACAUCGCCUGAUCGAUUCGAUCAAUCGAUCACUCAGCACCAGAGCCGAUCGCGAUCGAUGACUUGCGCCUACAGGCCCACU
This 756-nucleotide long non-coding RNA is filed under the name Hordeum vulgare. RNAcentral describes it as "long non-coding RNA (HVUL_LNC020133)". Lineage: Eukaryota; Viridiplantae; Streptophyta; Magnoliopsida; Poales; Poaceae. The record is from RNAcentral.